RNAcentral lists this ribosomal RNA (466 nucleotides) under uncultured bacterium. Its description in RNAcentral is "partial 16S ribosomal RNA". It matches the Rfam family "Bacterial small subunit ribosomal RNA", at positions 28 to 507 of the family's 1533-position model. The record is from RNAcentral.
GACGAACGCUGGCGGCGCGCCUAACACAUGCAAGUCGAACGAGCGAGAGAGAGCUUGCUUUCUCGAGCGAGUGGCGAACGGGUGAGUAACGCGUGAGGAACCUGCCUCAAAGAGGGGGACAACAGUUGGAAACGACUGCUAAUACCGCAUAAGCCCACGACCCGGCAUCGGGUAGAGGGAAAAGGAGCAAUCCGCUUUGAGAUGGCCUCGCGUCCGAUUAGCUAGUUGGUGAGGUAACGGCCCACCAAGGCGACGAUCGGUAGCCGGACUGAGAGGUUGAACGGCCACAUUGGGACUGAGACACGGCCCAGACUCCUACGGGAGGCAGCAGUGGGGAAUAUUGCACAAUGGGGGAAACCCUGAUGCAGCGACGCCGCGUGGAGGAAGAAGGUCUUCGGAUUGUAAACUCCUGUUGUUGAGGAAGAUAAUGACGGUACUCAACAAGGAAGUGGCGGCUAACUACGUG